AGCUCUUGAAACUGGGAGACUUGAGUGCAGGAGAGGAGAGUGGAAUUCCUAGUGUAGCGGUGAAAUGCGUAGAUAUUAGGAGGAACCCCAGUUGCGAAGGCGGCUCUCUGGACUGUAACUGACGCUGAGGCACGAAAGCGUGGGGAGCAAACAGGAUUAGAUACCCUGGUAGUCCACGCUGUAAACGAUGAGUACUAGGUGUCGGGGGUUACCCCCUUCGGUGCCGCAGCUA
Molecule: ribosomal RNA, 232 nt
Filed under: Clostridioides difficile
Lineage: Bacteria; Bacillati; Bacillota; Clostridia; Peptostreptococcales; Peptostreptococcaceae
Description: partial 16S ribosomal RNA
Rfam family: Bacterial small subunit ribosomal RNA
Source: RNAcentral